AUGAUAAUCAAAGUUUGGAGCAUAGUGGGAAAAAAAAGCUCUGCAUGGCCAAAAUAUGCCUGGAGAGGCGAUGAUCCGCACUCUUCACUACGACAGGAAAUACAGACGAAUAUCCAAAAUUUAAGUACAAAGCGGCCCACCUAUUACAUUACAUUUCAGUUAUUCAAAGAUAAGAAAAAAGAAACACAACAACAUUCACAGAUAGAUUUUAUUGCAUCUUCCGGGUUUCUAAACGGGGAUUUUGCAUGCACACAAAAUUGA
Molecule: non-coding RNA, 261 nt
Organism: Vicia faba (fava bean)
Lineage: Eukaryota; Viridiplantae; Streptophyta; Magnoliopsida; Fabales; Fabaceae
Source: the annotation of a GenBank genome assembly